Long non-coding RNA from Taeniopygia guttata (zebra finch), 2384 nucleotides. The record is from Ensembl. NCBI's taxonomy places the organism in Eukaryota, Metazoa, Chordata, Aves, Passeriformes, Estrildidae.
ACAAGUAUUAUUGAGUGAGAUAAUGGAAUUAACAAAGCUGGCACAGUCUCAGAGUUAUUAUUUCAGAUACCUUAAAAGCAUUCUCCGUUACUGGAUAUAUCACAUUUAUAGCUGCUUCACAAACCACUGCCACAUCACCAAUGUUUGCCUUCUAGAAGCAAAGUCCUUACUUAAGUGCAGAAGUCAAGAAAACCAAAUUCUGCAUAGCAAAAAUGUAAUUUUAUAUAUCAACAUAAAUAUAAACAUUUAAGGAAAAAAAUUACUUCAGAACACUUCUAUUAAUUGAAAACUGGAACAAUAGUUUUUCAUUAAAAAUUGUCUUCAAAUAAAAUUGACACUUGAGGAUGGGCAUUUUUUUUGUGUGUUUUGGUUAGCAAAACCAAGGUCAGUUAAGAAAAAAGUAUAUUAAAAAUGCUUUAAAUCAGAAAGAUCUAAACUCUAAUAAUAGUUGCAUUCUCUUAUAAGGAACAACUGGCACGUGGAUUGUACAGGGUCUGCUUGACUUGGGUUUGCAGUACCUCAGUUUAAGAGGAAAAAUUACUCUUCCAUUCAAUUCCAGGUUGCAGCUAGACUUAGAACUGAAAUGGCCUGUUAAGGCCAAGUCCCAACUCAGCCAUGUGAUUUUUAGCUCAUAACAGAGCUGCUCAGCAUAAAAUCCUCUUUGCUGGGAGUAUUUUUUCAAAGACACAUUAAAAGAAAAUGGGAUGUUUGUGUUAAAACUCUGUGGCUAUUCUAGGAAAAUAAUUGAGAUAAAUCCUCUGCUCAUGAAACAAGUGCACUGUUAACAGGAACUCCUUUCACUGGAUGGGCUUCUUAGUGAUAUUCCCCCCUUCCCCCCAAAAAUCACCAACGACACUGGAAAUCACCUUAUGGCUACUGCAGGGUAAAGACUGGCAUCUGGUUCUGUUCUGCAAUAUUGUUUUGAUAAGAUAAAAACUUGCAAUACUGUCAGGAAGCAGCAAGGGCAGCUGCUCUCCCAGGGAACAGGGAGCCAAGGGCAGUGUCACCAGGUCAGGUCCUGGCUGUCCCAGUGAGGAAGCAAGGCAGGACCAUUGACAGCAGCUGAUAUUCAACCAAGAGCUCAGACAAUUAGAGGAGUUUGUGGUGAUGAGGUAAAUCCAAGGUGAAGCUGGAAGUCUAUCUGCACGUCAGGAUCAGACCCAGUGAGUACAGCUGGAAUCAUGACCUCGGAGCAGGUUUGUGGUAAAAGUGAGGUCAAAGCCAUCAGCCCAUGGGUCAUGUUCAGAAUCAGUGGGGUCCAUGACCAUGGUUUUACUCAGGCAGGGACUAAGGAAGCUCCAGAACCUGUGGACAGAGGUUGGGGGAGACCACAGGUGAAGUUUUUGAGCUGUGAGGGCCCUGACAACUACAGAGUAGAGAACUGUCACAAAACUCAUGUCAUGUGAACCAUUCAAAAUUCUUUAGAGAUGCUAAGUUUUACCUUAUGAUGUUUGAAGACUUCCCAGAGAGAAAAGAGUUAUCCCAGAAUUGUCAUGUUCCCUGAAAAAGGUAUUAAGAGUUUUAUCAUUCCUGUAUAUUAUUUAAACCUGACUUACUGCUUGCAUUCAAACCCAAGUUACUAUAAAGACAGAUUUAUAAUUCAGCCUAUGCCUAGAACUCAAAAUUUAAAAAAAUUUAGGGUCAUCUAUUUACUAAAGUUUCACUACAACAACAACUGAGAAAAAAAAAGGCAAGUCUUAGCUUUGUCUAAGACUUGUUAUUCAUUUCAUAUAGAACAAACCUACUGACUGACAUGUAUAGGCACUUAUCUGAAGACAAUGAGCAGGUCCUCCUGCAGAAGCAUGUGAAUUUUAUUCUGUUCAUAGAGUUUCAAUUUGGACUCAUUCUAAGGUUAUUCACUUGUGAAAAAUUAUGGUAUGCAAGAGACUUUCUGCUUAUAGUGGAUUUUUAAGGCAGUUCAUAUCGGCUUAUUUUGUGUAAGUAAACAAGAACUGAGAAAUCUAAGGCUAGGUACAGGUCAGAUUUUGUCACUUAGGUUCUAUUCCUAAAAGGCCUCUUCUUGCAAAUGGUACCUCAUACAGAAUGCACAAAAGUGAAAGUUUUAGUCAAUUAAGUUUGUUUAAAUGGCAUUAUGGGGGAUAAGCCCCAACUGUUUCAGAAAGUGUUAUCCUAGUGUUCAGAGACCUUGUACUUAGGCAGUCAGCCAGAAUCUAUCACCAUGGAUUCACAACAAUCAAGGCCUUGACAAGUUUUAUGUCUAAAGAAAACCAGUUAGUCAAUUAAUGGUUAAAGACUUCAAAACAUCUUUUUGUUAGUAUGACACUGAUUGAAAAGAUAAAAGAAUAAGGAAAUCUUUUCAAUACUUUUCUGUUCUUUCCCCCAAAUCUUCUGAGGAGGAGGAACGACAAAAAAAAAAAAAAAAA